UCUCUGCCCUGAAGAGAGAUACAAAGAAUUCAUUUAUCUUCUCUGCAACAGGCUUGUCUUCCUUAAUUGCUCCUUUAACACCUUGAUCAUCCAAUAGCUCCACUGAUUGGUUGGCAGGCUUCCUGCUUCUGAUGUAUUUAAAAAUUUUGCAGUUAGUUUUUGUGUCUUUUGCUAGUUGCUCUUCAAGUUCUUUUUUGGUCUGCUUAAUUA
This is a long non-coding RNA of Dermochelys coriacea (leatherback sea turtle), 210 nucleotides long. RefSeq lists it as uncharacterized. The record is from RefSeq and is a predicted model, not a curated record. Lineage: Eukaryota; Metazoa; Chordata; Testudines; Dermochelyidae. The transcript is spliced from 3 exons.